UACGUAGGGGGCGAGCGUUGUCCGGAAUUAUUGGGCGUAAAGGGCGCGUAGGCGGUGACACAAGUCAGGUGAUAAAGGCACGGGCUCAACCGGUGUUAGGCACUUGAUACUGUGUUGCUAGAGUGCAGGAGAGGGGAGUGGAAUUCCAGGUGUAGCGGUGAAAUGCGUAGAUAUCUGGAAGAACACCAGUGGCGAAGGCGGCUCUCUGGACUGCAACUGACGCUGAGGCGCGAAAGCUGGGGGAGCAAACAGGAUUAGAUACCCUGGUAGUCCCAGCCGUAAACGAUGAACACUAGGUGUAGGGGGUAUCGACCCCCCCUGUGCCGGAGCUAACGCAAUAAGUGUUCCGCCUGGGGAGUACGGCCGCAAGGUUGAAACUCAAAGGAAUUGACGGGGGCCCGCACAAGCGGUGGAGCAUGUGGUUUAAUUCGAUGCAACGCGAAGAACCUUACCAGGGCUUGACAUCCCUCUGACAGCAUCAGAGAUGGUGUUUCUCUUCGGAGCAGAGGAGACAGGUGGUGCAUGGCU
RNAcentral lists this ribosomal RNA (528 nucleotides) under uncultured bacterium. RNAcentral describes it as "bacterial SSU rRNA". It matches the Rfam family "Bacterial small subunit ribosomal RNA", at positions 524 to 1050 of the family's 1533-position model. The record is from RNAcentral.